CCCUCAACUUUUAAGGUUAUCUCUAAGACACAGGCUCCAAAUCUUCUAACUCUGACAGUAUUCUCAAGUUUCACGGGACCGGGACCGUAGUAACAAAGUAGCAUUUGUGCAACAGGCCUGUGAGCAGUCACCCUGCUAUCCCCCCAGACACAGGGAGGAGGGAGCAGACAAAACCUUCCUCUGCCACUUGUUCCCUGAAGGGAGUUUGACCGCAUACCGAAGCAGCAGCUGCUGCAGGGCUGACUGCUGAUUAGCCUGCACCUACGUGUGGACUAGGGAUCCUCUCUGAGGCCCAGAAGAGCAGUAAAACCCAGUCUCCUGCUUCUCCCUGGAAGAAGAUGGAUGGAACGAACAUUUAUAAAUGGAAAGAAUCGGGGUGCCUGGGUGGCUCAGUUGGUCAAACAUCUGACUUCAGCUCAGGUAUCCUACACUGUACAACGUGCUCACAGCCACAAGGUAAAACAUCAAAAAAUUGUCACUACCUGGAAGGAGCUAAUGAUCAACAGAUGAACUAGUCUGGUUUCCUUUCAGCACCACAGAAGCUAACUUCCAUCUUCCACGGCCCUUCUGUGGCAGAUCCUGGCCUCACCCAGGGGAGCAUAUAUAUUCCCAUGGCAGUUGUCUGUUUACUUGGAAAGGCGAAGUUUGUUUUUCCAACAUCUAAGUCUUGCUUGAAUUGACCCCACAGGUCCCUUAAUCCCACUAAGCUAUUCUGAUCAUGUGCUUAUUUCAACUCUUGUCACCGCUAACGAGUGAUUCCCUCCCUUCGCACCAAUUUUUUGGUUCAUGUUCUUGUGUAACAGUGAGCAUAGAGAGCUUAAGAAAAGUUAUAAAAGGAAAUGUUCACAAUAUUCAGAAUUGAGUCUUAGAUUGCAAAUUCCCAUUUUGAACAGUUAAAUAUUAGAAGUACUGUGUUGAAAAGGAUUCUCUGAUGGAAUGAAACACGGGUUAGGUUUCUGACAUGUACAGAAUGCUAUGGGAGCUCAGAUGAAGGAGUUCUUAUCUCUGCAGAAGACGUAAGGGAUGGUCUUCUAAAAAUACAACAUUUUAUAAAGUUCCAGUUCCCUAUUUGUGACCGGAGAACAUUCCAGGCAGGAGGAAAUACAUUUGCAAAAAGUUCCAGCAAGUUCCAGCAGUAAUUCAAGGCAUGUGGGUUGGGUUUAGAGGCAGGCUGAAAAUAUUGUGGAAAAUAGGGCUGGAAAGUUAGAAGUUAAAACAGAGAUAAUCCAGACUUUUUGUAUGUGUCACUCUGGCAGCAAGCAGUGUCAAGAAUAAACUGGAGAGAUUUUUUUUUGUUUGUUUGUUUGUUUGUUUUCCUGUAAUGACCAUGUCACUCACCUUAAAGAGAGUAAUGCCUUGGGAGAACAUUGCAACAGACUCAGAAGCUAAUCAGAUUUCAACCCCAUCUAAAUUGAUAUAAUUUCUCAUUUACAUAGAAAAGAGAUAACUAAACAAAACCAGCUCUAAUGGCAAGAACUGAGUGUGAGGGUGGUGCUAAUUACGAACAUGAUGGAGAUCACGGGUAAGAUUUAUUAGGACUCUCACUAGAUGCCAUCGCUGACUCUCAGCACCUGACCUGGGCACUAGUGUCAUCUCAUCCUUAUGUGGCAUACUGCAAAAAGACCACAAAUUCCGCCCAUCCUUGAACUGUGUUCCUCUGUGAUAUGAAU
Long non-coding RNA from Panthera uncia (snow leopard), 1670 nucleotides. RefSeq lists it as uncharacterized. The transcript is spliced from 3 exons. The record is from RefSeq and is a predicted model, not a curated record. Lineage: Eukaryota; Metazoa; Chordata; Mammalia; Carnivora; Felidae.